RNAcentral lists this long non-coding RNA (3427 nucleotides) under Solanum tuberosum (potato). RNAcentral describes it as "long non-coding RNA (STUB_LNC001534)". Lineage: Eukaryota; Viridiplantae; Streptophyta; Magnoliopsida; Solanales; Solanaceae. The record is from RNAcentral.
UUGGCUGAUGGAGGAUUUCCAAGAAGAUAUUCUUGUCAUCAAAGAUGUGAUCCUCUAAGAUGAGAAGAUAUUCUUCAUAUCAAGAUAUGAUCCUCUAAGAUCUUAGUAUAAUUGUGGUAAUCUAGAAUAUCAUAUCUCUGAUUCUUUCUCUUAAUGUAAAGAUUUAGGUGAUUCUAUUCCACAAUCUUUUAUGUAUAUAUAAAGCCAUGUACAUGACAUAGAAAAAUAUGAAUGAAAUUAUUCAAUAAUCUUAUUCCACAUGGUAUCAGAGCUUUAGGCUUAUUCCUGGCCAAUUUUAUUCAUCCUAUCUUGAAAAAUCCCAUUUUGCUAUCUUUAUCUGCCCAAACCAUGUCUGAAAAUGGUACUGCCGCAAAUAUUCCAGUCUCUGAAAAUGUUUCUGCAACCAUAGAGAAUAACUCUACAGUUUCAAUUGGAGAUUUGCAACAUUCAGCUUCAACAGGUAGUUGUUCAUUGGCCUUCACAGGUAUUUCUUACUCUUUUAUUACUAAUGUCUCAGACAAACUUUCUCCAACGUGGGUGGUUGAUUCCGGGGCAACUGAUCACAUGACCAGUCUCUUUCAUCUCUUCAUAUCAUAUUCCCCUUGUCCUAGCUAUAAAAAAAUAACUAUAGCUGAUGGUUCAGUUAUUACUGUAGCUGGGCAAGGAGACAUACCACUUGGAAAAUCCUUGAUACUUAAAGAUGUCCUUCAUAUCCCAAAGUUAUCUGCAAAUCUCAUUUCUGUCCAGAAACUCACCAAAGAUUCCAAAUGCCAAGUAACUUUCUUCCCUUCAUAUUGCUUAUUUCAGGAACAGAACACGAAGGAGAUGAUUGGGCGUUAUUCCAAAUGCCAAGUAACCUUCUUCCCUUCAUAUUGCUUAUUUCAGGAACAGAACACGAAGGAGAUGAUUGGGCGUGCUAGUGAGAAAGGUGGUCUUUAUUGUUUGGAUUUCCACAAUGGUGAAUAUAUAUCUAAGAAUUCCUUGUCUAGUUCAUUCUUGUCUGAAUCUAUCAUGUCCAAUAAAGAGAAAGUAUGGCUUUAUCAUCGUCGGUUAGGUCACCCUUCCUUUUAUGUAAUCAAAAGGAUGUUCCCAUCUUUGUUCAAAGAUUUGAUUGUCGAGUCUUUUCAUUGUGAUGAUUGUGAAAUUGCAAAACACAAACGUACUUCCUUUCCAAUUAGUCACAAAAGAUGUCAAACUCCAUUCUCUCUUAUUCAUAGUGAUAUUUGGGGACCCUCUCCCAUUCCUAAUAUUUCUGGUGCUAGAUGGUUUGUAUCAUUCAUUGAUGAUUGUACAAGAGUUACGUGGAUCUAUUUGCUAAAGCAAAAAUCAGAUGUCAGUCAAAUUCUUCCUACCUUUUUUAAUAUGAUCAAAACCCAAUAUGAUGUGCCAAUUAAAAGAUUUCGAUCCGAUAAUGCCAAGGACUACUUCAAUCAAAACCUCUCUGUUUUCUUCCAAAAAGAGGGAAUUAUUCAUGAAUCUUCAUGUGUCAAUACUCCUCAACAAAAUGGGAUAGCAGAGAGAAGAAAUGGUCUGUUACUUGACAUUACUAGAUCAUUAUUGUUUCACAAAAAGGUGCCAAAACAGUAUUGGGGGGAAGCUGUCCUAACUGCUGCACAUCUUAGUAACAGAAUGCCAUCAAGAAUUCUGAACUUUCAAAGUCCGCUUGAUACUCUCAGGAAUUUCUUUCCAAAUUUUGAAAUUUCCAAUAAGUUGGUUCCUAGAAUCUUCGGAAGUGUUGCCUAUGUUCAUAUUCAUUCCCAAAAUAGAGGCAAAUUAGACCCACGUGCUCUUAAGUGUGUUUUCAUAGGAUAUUCUCCUACUCAAAAAGGUUACAAGUGUUAUCAACCAUCAUCAAAGAAAUUCUUUGUUUCCGCAGAUGUCACAUUUGAUGAGAGUGAAUCCUUUUUUAAUCAUUCUUACAAUCAGGGGGAGUCACUGAAAGGAAAGGAACCUCUAGACUUGUCACUAUUGGAUUUGUCCAUUUCUAGUCGUGCCAAAUUCUUGCCUGAGUCACCAUUGCUACAGUCACCUGAGUCUCUAAAUCCAAAUGAACCCAUUGAGUCUCCUAAUCCAAAUAUAGAUAAUGGAAUUCUAGAAAAUAAUCUACCAUUGCAGGUAUAUUCCAGAAGAAAGAGACUAACUGAUCAAACUACUCGGUUGCAAUCAUCUCCUCAGGUUACUGCUCCUGAUACCCAUCCUGAACUUGUUGAACCGUCAGAAACACCAAACCAAACUGAUCAUGAAGAACCUAACCAACCUACCUGAUACCCAUCCUGAACUUGUUGAACCGUCAGAAACACCAAACCAAACUGAUCAUGAAGAAGAAUUUAACCAACCUAAUGUCCUUGACCUUCCCAUUGCAAUCAGAAAAGGAACCAGAACUUGCACACAACACCCUUUGAGCCUCUCCAUGACAUAUCAAAAUCUAUCCCCAAGUCAUAAAGCUUUUCUCUGUAACCUCCACACAAUUCCUAUCCCCAGAAAUUUGUCUGAAGCAUUAGGAAAUAAAGAAUGGGAGAAAGCUAUGAAGGUAGAAAUGGAAGCAUUGGAGAAAAACAAAACUUGGGAUAUUGUGGAAUUACCAAAAGGAAAAAGGUUGGUCGGGUGCAGAUGGGUGUUUACUGUGAAAUAUAAGUCAGAUGGGUCCAUAGAAAGAUAUAAAGCACGUUUGGUAGCAAAGGGUUAUACACAAACCUAUGGAAUUGAUUAUUUGGAGACUUUUGCCCCAGUGGCAAAAAUGAAUACAGUGAGAAUUUUAUUAUCAUUGGCUGCAGUUUUUAAUUGGAACCUACAACAAUUUGAUGUAAAAAAUGCCUUUUUACAUGGAGACUUAGAUGAGGAGAUUUACAAAGGUAUGAUCAAGCUAGGGUAUCGACAAAGUCAAGGAGACCACACCUUGUUCAUACGACACUCAAAAACAGGAAAAGUGACAGCAUUGUUGGUUUAUGUGGAUGACAUCAUAGUAACAGGUGAUGAUUCAGAGGAGAUACAAAAUUUGAAGAAGUGUUUACUCAAGGAAUUUGACAUCAAAGAGCUUGGGAAAUUAAAGUAUUUUUUGGGAAUCGAAGUGGCACACUCAAAACAAGGAAUCUUUAUUUCCCAACAAAAAUAUGUGCUUGAUUUGUUGAAAGAAACAGGAAAAUUAGGGUGUAAACCAGUGGCUACACCAAUUGAAUACAAUCAUAGAUUGUGCAAUGCUCCAGAAGAUUCAGUGGUAGAUAAAGGCUUGUAUCAAAGGCUUGUAGGGAAAUUGAUUUACUUGUCCCAUACAAGGCCGGACAUUGCAUUUGCUGUAAGUGUUGUUAGCCAAUUUAUGCAUGAUCCUAGAGAAAUGCAUCUUCAAGCUGUCAACCGGAUUCUACAAUAUCUUAAAGGAAGUCCAGGAAAAGGAAUAUUAUUCAAAAGAGGAGGAAACAUGGUUUUAGAG